RNAcentral lists this ribosomal RNA (577 nucleotides) under uncultured bacterium. RNAcentral's name for it is "partial 16S ribosomal RNA". It matches the Rfam family "Bacterial small subunit ribosomal RNA", at positions 355 to 932 of the family's 1533-position model. The record is from RNAcentral.
UGGGGAAUUUUGGACAAUGGGCGAAAGCCUGAUCCAGCAAUGCCGCGUGUGUGAAGAAGGCCUUCGGGUUGUAAAGCACUUUUGUCCGGAAAGAAAUCCUUGGCUCUAAUACAGUCGGGGGAUGACGGUACCGGAAGAAUAAGCACCGGCUAACUACGUGCCAGCAGCCGCGGUAAUACGUAGGGUGCAAGCGUUAAUCGGAAUUACUGGGCGUAAAGCGUGCGCAGGCGGUUUGCUAAGACCGAUGUGAAAUCCCCGGGCUCAACCUGGGAACUGCAUUGGUGACUGGCAGGCUAGAGUAUGGCAGAGGGGGGUAGAAUUCCACGUGUAGCAGUGAAAUGCGUAGAGAUGUGGAGGAAUACCGAUGGCGAAGGCAGCCCCCUGGGCCAAUACUGACGCUCAUGCACGAAAGCGUGGGGAGCAAACAGGAUUAGAUACCCUGGUAGUCCACGCCCUAAACGAUGUCAACUAGUUGUGGGGAUUCAUUCCUUAGUAACGUAGCUAACGCGUGAAGUUGACCGCCUGGGGAGUACGGUCGCAAGAUUAAAACUCAAAGGAAUUGACGGGGUCAUAGCUG